UGGGGUGUAGCCAAGCGGUAAGGCACCGGGUUUUGGUCCCGGCAUUCGGAGGUUCGAAUCCUCCCACCCCAGCCA
RNAcentral lists this transfer RNA (75 nucleotides) under Calditrichota bacterium. RNAcentral's name for it is "Calditrichaeota bacterium (hydrothermal vent metagenome) tRNA-Gln". It matches the Rfam family "tRNA". Rfam says of the family: Transfer RNA (tRNA) molecules are approximately 80 nucleotides in length. Lineage: Bacteria; Pseudomonadati; Calditrichota. The record is from RNAcentral.